Molecule: long non-coding RNA, 300 nt
Filed under: Nicotiana benthamiana
Lineage: Eukaryota; Viridiplantae; Streptophyta; Magnoliopsida; Solanales; Solanaceae
Description: long non-coding RNA (NBEN_LNC035763)
Source: RNAcentral
GCCAGAUGUCUACCUGUCAAUCAUGCAAGGAGCCAGCUGAGGCUCAUGUCAUCUGCUACACACACCAGCAGGGUAAUCUUACCAUAAACGUUAGACGCCUUCCCUCGGUGAGUUCGCUUCACAGGUAUUGGGGAGAGGUGAUUAGGCAUGUAGACGCCUUCCCUCGGUGAGUUCGCUUCCUGGUGAACGGGACAAAAAGAUCUGGAUGUGGCAUCGAUGUCUUAAGUGUGCACAAAUAGAGGGAGUUCCACCAGCGACUCGCCGAGUAAUAAUGUCAGAUGCGGCUUGGGGACUCUCGUU